AGUCUUUCCGUCAGACUAACCUAACUGUGGAUUGCACGACAGAAGCAUGUUUUCAGCUCAUCAAAGAACUGGCCAAGGAGGUGAAGGAUAUCAGUAAGCAUGCUCAGAAGAGAGUGGUGAUAGAAGAGGUAACUGCAUCACUUCAAUAGCAGCAGGAGUCUCAUUCUGGAGUGGUCCAAGGAGCUGAACCAACUAACCCGGCUUGUAGCAUGCCCGGAAAAGAACAUUGGAAAAAGCUGUCACUCCACCACCUAUCAGCCUAGAGAGCAGCAGGAGUCUCAUCCUAAAUCUGUCCAAGGUGUUGAACCAACUUGAACCAGUAUGCAGGCUUAAACAUACCAUACUGCCAAAGGAGAUCAUUCAUUGUCUUUGACUCCCAGUUCAUGUAGUAUUUACUCAAGUGCUGUUAUAGAUUUGGGUCUGCUUUAUAUCUGGACCUCAUAUCUCAUUUAAUAUACAGGUAACUGCCAAAAUAAAGGAAACACUUGAGUAAAUGAUGGAUACAAAGUACAGUGCAUUUGGAAAGUAUUCAGACCCCUUGCCUUUUCCCACAUUUUGUUACCUUACAGCCUGAAAUAUCACAUUUACCAAAUGUUCAGACCCUUUACUCAGUACUUUGUUGAAGCACCAUUGGCAGC
Molecule: long non-coding RNA, 638 nt
Organism: Oncorhynchus tshawytscha (Chinook salmon)
Lineage: Eukaryota; Metazoa; Chordata; Actinopteri; Salmoniformes; Salmonidae
Source: Ensembl